RNAcentral lists this long non-coding RNA (277 nucleotides) under Capsicum annuum. Its description in RNAcentral is "long non-coding RNA (CANN_LNC016345)". The record is from RNAcentral. Lineage: Eukaryota; Viridiplantae; Streptophyta; Magnoliopsida; Solanales; Solanaceae.
GACUAGGAUAGUGAUCAUUCAACUUGUAUUAACGUGAGAAUCACUUGGAUUAGAGCUUAGAAGCACAGGAAUGACGAUUAGAAUUCUAGAACGAAAAUACGAGGUAUUAAACUUGCCUUGGUUGAAAGAUAGGGGUUAUGAAAGGAUCAUAGGCCAUUGUUGAUAUUAGUCCACUUUUAUUCUAAAUUACCUACCCUUUGUGCAUGAUAUCUCCCUUGAUACCUACUUUGAGCCUAAAUGUUUUUUUCUUUUACGACACCUAUCACCUUCCCAUUUA